Molecule: ribosomal RNA, 328 nt
Filed under: uncultured Chloroflexota bacterium
Lineage: Bacteria; Bacillati; Chloroflexota
Description: bacterial SSU rRNA
Rfam family: Bacterial small subunit ribosomal RNA
Source: RNAcentral
GAUGAACGCUAGCGGUGUGCUUAAAGCAUGCAAGUCGAACGUGAUCUCUUGGAUUCGUCUGAGGGUGAAAGUGGCGAACGGGUGAGUAAUGCGUUGGUGAUCUGCCCCGGAGUGGGAAGUAACUAUUGGAAACGAUAGCUAAUACCCACGAUGUCCUCGUGUUUGGAAAGCGAUGACUAAAGUUCAGGCGCUCCGGGAGGAGCCGACGUCCCAUCAGCUAGUUGGUAGGGUAAUGGCCUACCAAGGCACAGACGGGGUAGGGGCGUGAGAGCGUCGACCCCCCACAAUGGUACUGACACACGGACCAGAUACCUACGGGUAGCAGCAG